This 252-nucleotide unclassified non-coding RNA is filed under the name Hevea brasiliensis (rubber tree). Lineage: Eukaryota; Viridiplantae; Streptophyta; Magnoliopsida; Malpighiales; Euphorbiaceae. The record is from RNAcentral.
CCACCCAGGACUACUGCUGUUGGCAACCCAGCUAAAUUGGUUGGAGGAACGCAGAACCCGACUAAGCUUGACAAGAUUCCUAGUUUUACCAUGGAUCACACUUCACACAUAGCAGAGUGGUCUGAUUAUGUCGUAUAGGGGGCUUUUUCUUAGGUAGAAAUUAGAAAAUUUGAUUAGCAUUUUGGGGUUGGAAAAUAUUCCUGCUAUUGUGAUUGGGAACGUUUGCUCACUAGCAAACAGAGCAGGCUUUGU